AGUGAACGCUGGCGGUAUGCCUAAUACAUGCAAGUCGAACGACAAGACAGUAAGAUCGUGCUCUUACGGUUGGCGAGUGGCGGAUGGGUGAGGAAUACAUCGGAAUCUACUUUUUCUUGGAGGACAACGGAAGGAAACUGACACUACUACCUCAUACGUCCUACGGCUUAAAGCAGUAGUGCUUCGGACCUUUGCUGUCUCAUUUAGCCGAUGUCGGAUUAGCUAGUUGGCGAGGUAAGGGCCCACCAAGGCGACGAUGCGUAGCUGGUCUGAGAGGAUGAUCAGCCACACUGGAACUGAGACACGGUCCAGACUCCUACGGGAGGCAGCAGUAGGGAAUAUUGCGCAAUGGGCGAAAGCCUGACGCAGCAACGCCGCGUGGGUGAAGAAGGCCUUCGGAUCGUAAAACCCUUUUAUUGGGAAAGAACAGAAGCGUAUGUAACCACCGAUGUCCUGACGGUACCCAAACAAUAAGCAACGGCUAACCACGUG
RNAcentral lists this ribosomal RNA (492 nucleotides) under uncultured bacterium. RNAcentral describes it as "partial 16S ribosomal RNA". It matches the Rfam family "Bacterial small subunit ribosomal RNA", at positions 29 to 507 of the family's 1533-position model. The record is from RNAcentral.